RNA transcript from Tupaia belangeri chinensis (Chinese tree shrew), 847 nucleotides. It is a transcript of the gene named spermatogenesis associated 19, with no coding region annotated. The record is from RefSeq and is a predicted model, not a curated record. The transcript has 8 exons. Lineage: Eukaryota; Metazoa; Chordata; Mammalia; Scandentia; Tupaiidae.
CCUCUGAUGCCCUCCCUGGCCUAUAGGAGCUCCCAGGCAGCUUCAAUGGCAGGAGGGAGUGAAGAAGGCGGCUGGCACGAGUCCCGAGAUGAUCAUUACGACGUGGAUUGUAUACAUUCUUGCCCGGAAAGGUGCAGGGCUCCCCUUCCCACCGAGAAUCAGUUCGGACAUUGAAGUUGUGGAAAGUGAAGCCGUGUCCGUGGUCCAACACUGGCUGAAAAAAACAGAAGAAGAGGCUGCCCAGGGCAUCAAGGAGAAGAUGUCUGCCUACUGCUCUCCCACUCACGGCCAGGACGUACACGUGACCAGAGACGUGGUGAAGCACCAUCUCUCAAAGUCUGACCUGUCAGCCAACCAGAGCCAAGAGGUCCUGGAGGAGCGAACGAGGAUUCAGUUCAUCAGAUGGAGCCACACCCGCAUCUUCCAAGUGCCGAGCGAGGUGACAGACGAGGUCAUGCGAGACCGGAUAGAGCAGGUGAGACGCAGCAUCUGCCACCUUACAGACGACUCUGCUCAGGACUGCUGCCUCAGACCUUCCUUCUCGGAUUGCUAAGAGCGACAGAGCCCCACUGCAUGCCAGCUUCUGCACAAGGCACUUUGUUGAGGAUUCUCACCUGAUCCCAAACCAACCUUUAAAGGAGGGCACCGCGCCACACGAAGGGGGAAGGUCGAAGCCCUUCAGGGCCAAGGGGCAGGCCUGUGUCAGAAGAGUGUCCAUCUCCUGCUUGACCUGAAGAGUAACCAGACCUGGGCCCAGAGAUGCCAGCCAGUGAGUCCUGCAUUGCCACGGUGGUGGCACGGAAUCUUCUCCUUAAACUGCUAAUAAAGAGACGUGCUAUUUAACAAC